UAGGAGCCAGCCGCCGAAGGUGGGACAGAUGAUUGGGGUGAAGUCGUAACAAGGUAGCCGUAUCGGAAGGUGCGGCUGGAUCACCUCCUUUCUAAGGA
RNAcentral lists this ribosomal RNA (98 nucleotides) under Bacillus amyloliquefaciens. RNAcentral's name for it is "partial 16S ribosomal RNA". It matches the Rfam family "Bacterial small subunit ribosomal RNA", at positions 1443 to 1533 of the family's 1533-position model. Lineage: Bacteria; Bacillati; Bacillota; Bacilli; Caryophanales; Bacillaceae. The record is from RNAcentral. RNAcentral also lists the same sequence under 1 other name.